UGGGGAAUUUUGGACAAUGGGGGCAACCCUGAUCCAGCCGUGCCGCGUGCGGGAAGAAGGCCUCGGUUGUAACCGACUUUGUUCAGGAAGCGGUACCUGAAGAAUAAGCACCGGCUAACUACGUGCCAGCAGCCGCGGUAAUACGUAGGGUGCAAGCGUUAAUCGGAAUUACUGGGCGUAAAGCGUGCGCAGGUGGUUGUGCAAGACAGAUGUGAAAUCCCCGGGCUUAACCUGGGAACUGCAUUUGUGACUGCACGGCUAGAGUACGGCAGAGGGGGAUGGAAUUCCGCGUGUAGCAGUGAAAUGCGUAGAUAUGCGGAGGAACACCGAUGGCGAGGGCGGUCCCCUGGGCCAGUACUGACGCUCAUGCACGAAAGCGUGGGGAGC
RNAcentral lists this ribosomal RNA (387 nucleotides) under uncultured bacterium. RNAcentral's name for it is "bacterial SSU rRNA". It matches the Rfam family "Bacterial small subunit ribosomal RNA", at positions 355 to 769 of the family's 1533-position model. The record is from RNAcentral.